Molecule: long non-coding RNA, 1086 nt
Organism: Daucus carota subsp. sativus
Lineage: Eukaryota; Viridiplantae; Streptophyta; Magnoliopsida; Apiales; Apiaceae
Exons: 2
Source: RefSeq, a predicted model, not a curated record
AUAUAUAUAGGGAGCUAUUCUAGUACAAACUAAAUUAUUCUAAAAACCUACAAACCUAGUCCAAUCCAAUAGCAAAGCCCAGUCCAAUAACAAAACAGCCCAAUCCAUCAGACAAAAUAGCCACCCAUCAGACAAAUUUAAACGACGACAAAUUAAAAUAAUUAAUAUUAUAGUUAGAUACACCUAUACAUACAUUAUAGUUACGCUUCUUUGCUCUCGCACUUUUUUUCUUCCUCAAACAAAGGUACGAAUCGCGCCAUACAACUACGAAACGCAUUUUCUUUCAAUUACUCACUGAUUUCUUCAUGUAUUUGACACAGCGGUUCAAUUUCACAGCGAAAUCGAGCACCAAAGUCGAACGACUUCAAUCACUGAAGUCGAAUUAAGCAAAAUCAGUUUCAAAAAUCUUCAAAAGUGAUUGUAGGCUUUCCAUGACCAACUCCAAUCAAUGAUGAAGAUGUAAGAAUUACUCCAACUUUUAUACUUUUAUUAUCCUACUCAAUAAAGACAGUUGUCUAAUAAUAGUAUAUUUGUACUUGAUACUGCAGCAUGGCCAGCGAAAUCACAUUAUCAGACUCUGAGUCAAAUAUAACAAUGUGAUUUUAUCAUCGUCACUGAAUCUGAAGAGAUCAGAAAUCAUGAAAGUGGGGAAGCAAAUAUAUAUUGAUAUGGUGCCAAAGAAACUGAUCAAUUUUGCCAUCCAAUUUGCACAAGCGUCUCAAGAAGAAGACAUAGCAGCAACUACUCAACCAAAGCCUGCUAAGAAGAAGACUGUCAGAUUUGCAAAAAACCUCACCAGCAAUUUUAAUGAAGUUCAGAAUGACAACCAAUGAUUGUUUCGGAAACUGAUGAUUGUUUCAGCAACUACUUUUGAUGAAAAUCCACAACGACCACUUGACAAGAAAAGAUUGUUUAAAGAACUAAUUAGAUUAUUUUUGUGAUUUCUUUUGUGUCGAAUAUUACUAAAAUCCACAAUGUGGAAAAUUAUCUGUGGCAUUCUAGAUUGGUUAUUGACUUUUUCAUGAUGCUAUUGUACAAAGAUUUUAAAAUUUUCUGCAAGUAUCAAUCUUACUUUUUACUUCUUCA